This 427-nucleotide ribosomal RNA is filed under the name uncultured bacterium. RNAcentral describes it as "bacterial SSU rRNA". It matches the Rfam family "Bacterial small subunit ribosomal RNA", at positions 917 to 1344 of the family's 1533-position model. The record is from RNAcentral.
GGGCCCGCACAAGCGGUGGAGCAUGUGGAUUAAUUCGAUGCAACGCGAAAAACCUUACCUGGCCUUGACAUGUACCGAAUUUAGCAGAGAUGCUUUAGUGCUCGAAAGAGAACGGUAACACAGGUGCUGCAUGGCUGUCGUCAGCUCGUGUCGUGAGAUGUUGGGUUAAGUCCCGCAACGAGCGCAACCCUUGCCAUUAAUUGCCAUCAUUUAGUUGGGCACUUUAAUGGGACUGCCGGUGACAAACCGGAGGAAGGUGGGGAUGACGUCAAGUCCUCAUGGCCCUUAUGGCCAGGGCUUCACACGUAAUACAAUGGUCGGUACAGAGGAAGCCAACCCGCGAGGGGGAGCCAAUCUCAGAAAGCCGGUCGUAGUCCGGAUUGUUGUCUGCAACUCGACAGCAUGAAGUCGGAAUCGCUAGUAAUCG